AAACAGUACCUCUCGUGGAUUGCGACUGGAACAGGACUCUUCUUUGCAGCCAUCUUCCACAUUGGUACAAAGGAACCUCAAAAAUGUCAGAGUAAAGAAAGCGCCACAACGGAUUGUACGAAAGCUUCUGAAAAAUUCAUUGAAGAGUUUGUACCCGAAAAUGCAAAUUCUAGACGGACCAGUCUUACUUUUAAGUUUACUAACAUGGUUAUGGCUUCAACUGAAUAUGAAGAA
Pocillopora damicornis (cauliflower coral) is the source of this 234-nucleotide long non-coding RNA. The record is from RefSeq and is a predicted model, not a curated record. NCBI's taxonomy places the organism in Eukaryota, Metazoa, Cnidaria, Anthozoa, Scleractinia, Pocilloporidae.